GUUAGGAAUUUUGCGCAAUGGGGGAAACCCUGACGCAGCAACGCCGCGUGAAGGAUGAAGGCCUUCGGGUUGUAAACUUCUUUUAGCAGGAAAGAACAAAAUGACGGUACCUGCAGAAAAAGCACCGGCUAACUCUGUGCCAGCAGCCGCGGUAAUACAGAGGGUGCAAGCGUUAUUCGGAAUUACUGGGCAUAAAGAGCGCGUAGGCGGUUUGAUAAGUCUGAUGUGAAAGCCCUGGACUCAAUCCAGGAAGUGCAUCGGAUACUGCCAAACUAGAGUGAAGGAGAGGAGAGCGGAAUUCCUGGUGUAGAGGUGAAAUUCGUAGAUAUCAGGAGGAACAACAGUGGCGAAGGCGGCUCUCUGGACUUUAACUGACGCUGAGGCGCGAAAGCGUGGGGAGCAAACAGGAUUAGAAACCCUGGUAGUCC
Molecule: ribosomal RNA, 428 nt
Filed under: uncultured bacterium
Lineage: Bacteria
Description: bacterial SSU rRNA
Rfam family: Bacterial small subunit ribosomal RNA
Source: RNAcentral